AUGAUUUUGAAGAACCUGAAUCUUUUCGGUGGAUUGUGUACUUGGGGAGAGCAGAAGUCAAUUCUUCAUGUGCCGCACAUCCUCCUAAACUGCUGUGCCCAACACAGAGCGAGUGGCCAGGAUGUACUUGCUGACUACAUAGAUAGAGGAAUGAGCAAGGAAAAGGCUAACAUGAAUGGGAUAGAGAGGACCUCACAGAAGCGAGAGGUCAUUCUUAAGUCUGCCAUUCUUGUGGUAAGUGCUGAAAAAAUAAAAGAGAAGAUCACUGAUGUAAAAAUUGAAGAGGGAAAGAAAGCACGGGUUGUUGUUGGGUAUGAAAUGCAUUUCACUGUGGUUUUGCCUCCAUCCUACCUGCAGAUUCCCCGGAGGAAGAGGAGAAGGGGGAAGUGAGAAGUCCCUUGUCUACCUCCAUGGCUCUGAAGUUUGGAAUUAGUGAAGCCUCAGCUCUGCAGUGGAAUGAUCACUGAUUUAUCCCCCUAGGAAAGGUCUUUCCCAGCUGUUCCAUCUAUCAUCUGCCAUUGCAUUUUCUUAAUAGGAAUUUUAAAUGCUGUUUCUCCCACAUCUUUCACUGGACUUCUCUUCUCCUCCUGAGCCACCUUUGAUCCUGUGGUGGACACAGCUCCUGCCUGACAUUGCUCAAUCUACUUUGUGCCCAUUUGGUUUUGUUUAUCUUGUGUUUACCUAAUGCUUCAAGAGCAAGAAGCCAAUAAAACUAUGUCCACUUCAAAGCUUGCUUCUUUCUGCCUUUGGAAUGAGUUUAGAAUUAGGGCUCACUUGUUUUAUUUGAGGAAGUCAGGACUGCUGAGGACUUCUGCUGGGAGGAGUAGUCUUGCUGCUUUGUGUGGCUGCUGUGGACACAUUCAUGUCUCACGGAGAGUGCUGUGCUCGGCCAUUCGUUUUUCUCUUCUGAUGAUCAAUCUAUCUCCCUCUGAUGAAUGGCCAUUAUGAGCAGAGUUAAAGCAGGAAUAAUUUAAGUGAUAAAUUGUUACUGGGGAAGGUGGUCUAUGAUGCUGAAAGCCUUAAAAAAGCAGGAAAUUAUCUACUUGAUUUAUGAAAACGAUGAUUACUGUGAUUUAAUCAUUUUGACAGAACACCUAUCCAUUGUAUUUGAAUGAAACUAAAUGAAUGUCCAAAUUAAUCAGAAAUUUUUUAGUCCUUAAUUUACAAAGCACCUAAUGCCAAUAUCCUCUUCUCACCUCAGGCCUUUUUGAUUUUCAAAGAUUUGUGGAAUUUUUGUGUGAAGAUUUUUGAAGAUCUUGAAGAUACUCUUAGAUGAGGUGGAGGAGGAAAGUCUGAGCAUGCGCCUGUAACACAGUACAGACUGACGCAGGAAGAUUGCAAGCAAACAGUCAUGACUAAUUUCCACUAAGGUCUCCCCUUGAUAAUGAAAAGAUGCUUGCCUGUGUGACUAUUUGCAAAGGCAGCUUACACAUGUGCAACUCUUUGAGAAUAAGGGCAAAAGCAAUGGGUACUAAAUGUGGUUUCCCACACGAGGAGGGACACUAUGGUCCUCUCUCUUUUUCUUCAUUCUCUGUACUUCUUUUUAUCAUCCAACAACAAAGUGAUCCCUGGUGGACCUAUUGAGAAGAAACCCUACUUUAUUAAAAUAUAUUUUGACCAGAGAAUAAAUUUUGAGUAACAGGGAAAUAUCAACAAAUUUAAUAAGUUAAGACUGAUUAAAAAUUAAUUGAAACUGCCAAGGGCUUCCAGGGUUGCCACUGAUGGUGUCUGGGCCUUAGUGAAGAAAGGAUUCAGGAUAGCAUUGACACAUGGCAAGAAGAAGCCCAGGCCUCUUCAGAUCUCUGCAGCUUGUAAGGCAGUGGUGGCGAACCUAUGGCACACAUGCCCCGGUGGGUUCUUUGUGUCACUGAAAGGGCUAAAAGGUUCACCAUCACUACUGUGAAGCAUUGCAGCAUUGUAGCUGUGACUGUUGAGCGUUACUUGGCCACCUCUGCCUUUCUCCUUCAUGCAGUGUAACUGACCCCUCCGCAGUCAGGAGACAAUUCACAUAUUUGGCUAACAGAUGAAAAUGUGGAUUCUUUCUUUUGACUGCUGAUAUUCAUAUUUUUUACUAAUGUAAAUUUUCUAUGGUUUUGUUUUAACCUUUGAUAGAGGCAUUUUUCCAGGAGGAAAAAGUAUACAUUAAGCUUUGUUAUUUGUGAUCUAAUGGAAGACUUGCAACAGUAAUAACUGUGAAAUACUUUGCAGUUUCUUUUGAAAAAAAAUCUUUCAAAAACUUUAAAUUAUAAGGAACAUCAUUGUAUGCCCUUCCCAUAAUAUGUGCUAGGCUUUUCUCUUAGCACCACUUGCUAUGUUAAAAUUGGUGGAUUCUUCAAAUUUGUACUUUGUGUUUUUAUUAAGUAUGCAUUUCUUUAUCAACAACAUAUAAUGUAGUAUUUUAAAUGUUACUGUAUUAACAAUGAAAAGAUAAUCAUGCUUGUGGAGACUAUAAAAAUUAGGUUGUUUACUAGUUUUCCUAACUGUGGUUCCUGGUGAUUGAUAUUAACUAUUUUUCAAGUCUAUAAUCAAUAGACAUCUAUAAUUCUUAAAAAGUACUGUGACAUUGGAUAUUAGCUGUUUGAAAUUUGCCUAGUCCAAAGUGACAUGUUCUCUAAAUAGGAAAUGCACAUUGAUUUUAGAGACUUACUCUAAUUAAAUAAUGCAAAAUACAUCAAAAAUUUUUUCAUUGGUUACAAAUUGAAAUAAUAACUAUUUUGAUAUAUUUGGUUAAGUACAAUACAUUUAUUUAGCUUUAACAAUUUUUUAACAUGUCUUCUGAAACUUUUAAGUGACAGUUGUGCUUCUAUAUUUCUGGUGCAUGCCAUUUUUCUUGACCUUCAUCUCUUCUGCGUCCCUCACCAGCACAAGGUUUGGUGCUUCCCCUACUCGUGAGUGUCUACCACCCAUGAGAUUGGUUGCUACUGUGCUGUGCAUGGGAAUAACUCAUGAUGCUAGUGAUAUUCAAGUAGUUGGAUCAUCUCUCCUCAUCGUCAUAUCAGGAAAUGGACCAUCUAUGAUUGGCAGCCAUGGCCAGGAAGGAUCAUUCUGGUGGAGAAAUUGCCCUGUGCACAUUUAUAUUGGGUUUGUGUUUAGUGAUGUUUUAUACUUAUUAAAAGUGGGCAUGCUCAGAUAAUUCGUGUGGUUUAAUUCUAAUAAUAUUUCAGCUCACAAUUAUUACGAUCUGUAGUUUUAAUUAAGUCUCCUGUGCUUAUGGGGAAGCCACCCAGUCAUGAGAGAUUGCUGAACAGGGACAGAAGAAAGUUCUGCUUCUGUUCACUGGGGAAAUGUGCUUGGCAUAGCUGUAACAUCUAACAACAGCAUAUUGAAAAUUAGUCACAUGUUGCUGCAUGUUAUGUUUAUUAAUUAUGAUCCUUCUGGGUGUUCCCAUAAAGAGACAAUCCUGUGCAUCUAAUUUUUCAGAGUCUGGAUGGCAUCUGGGGGGAAAAAACCAACUUUAUGAACAGCAAUGUUCUUCAAAAUUGAACCCAUUCAUUCUUUAGUCUCAAAAAUUUUUAGUUUCAACUAAGUGAUAUGCUGUUUAAAUAAGACAUUUUCCAAAUUAGCACAGUGUGGCUAAUGCACAUUUUAAGUCCAAACCUCUCAAUUUAUUUAACACUCUCUAAUUCUUAAGAUAUUCUUUUUGGAGUUUUAUGUUCAUUUAGCUAUUUAUGUUCAUUUUGGGAAUUUUGUAUAAUAUUAUGCAUGUUUAUUUCCUGAAAGUAAUACAUUUUGUAAAAUGAAUUACAAAAUUUAAAAUAAAGCUAGCUUAACGAAUGCAAAACUAUAUAUUUCUGUGUGUGAAGAAAAGAUUAACUACAAGAGAUAAACACUACUACCAUGC
Molecule: long non-coding RNA, 3841 nt
Filed under: Chinchilla lanigera (long-tailed chinchilla)
Lineage: Eukaryota; Metazoa; Chordata; Mammalia; Rodentia; Chinchillidae
Description: lncRNA (ENSCLAG00000028794.1)
Source: RNAcentral